Molecule: ribosomal RNA, 496 nt
Filed under: uncultured bacterium
Lineage: Bacteria
Description: partial 16S ribosomal RNA
Rfam family: Bacterial small subunit ribosomal RNA
Source: RNAcentral
AUGCACGCUGGCGGCGUGCCUCAUACAUGCAAGUCGAGCGCACGGACGAGAAGCUUGCUUCUCUGAUGUUAGCGGCGGACGGGUGAGUAACACGUGGAUAACCUACCUAUAAGACUGGGAUAACUUCGGGAAACCGUAGCUAAUACCGGAUAAUAUUUUGAACAGCAUGGUUCAAAAGUGAAAGACGGUCUUGCUGUCACUUAUAGAUGGAUCCGCGCUGCAUUAGCUAGUUGGUAAGGUAACGGCUUACCAAGGCAACGAUGCAUAGCCGACCUGAGAGGGUGAUCGGCCACACUGGAACUGAGACACGGUCCAGACUCCUACGGGAGGCAGCAGUAGGGAAUCUUCCGCAAUGGGCGAAAGCCUGACGGAGCAACGCCGCGUGAGUGAUGAAGGUCUUCGGAUCGUAAAACUCUGUUAUUAGGGAAGAACAUAUGUGUAAGUAACUGUGCACAUCUUGACGGUACCUAAUCAGAAAGCCACGGCUAACUACGUG